GACGAACGCUGGCGGCGUGCUUAACACAUGCAAGUCGAACGGAAAGGCCCUGCUUUUGUGGGGUGCUCGAGUGGCGAACGGGUGAGUAACACGUGAGUAACCUGCCCUUGACUUUGGGAUAACUUCAGGAAACUGGGGCUAAUACCGGAUAGGAGCUCCUGCUGCAUGGUGGGGGUUGGAAAGUUUCGGCGGUUGGGGAUGGACUCGCGGCUCAUCAGCUUGUUGGUGGGGUAGUGGCUUACCAAGGCUUUGACGGGUAGCCGGCCUGAGAGGGUGACCGGCCACAUUGGGACUGCGAUACGGCCCAGACUCCUACGGGAGGCAGCAGUGGGGAAUAUUGCACAAUGGGCGGAAGCCUGAUGCAGCAACGCCGCGUGCGGGAUGACGGCCUUCGGGUUGUAAACCGCUUUCGCCUGUGACGAAGCGUGAGUGACGGUAAUGGGUAAAGAAGCACCGGCUAACUACGUG
RNAcentral lists this ribosomal RNA (468 nucleotides) under uncultured bacterium. RNAcentral's name for it is "partial 16S ribosomal RNA". It matches the Rfam family "Bacterial small subunit ribosomal RNA", at positions 28 to 507 of the family's 1533-position model. The record is from RNAcentral.